RNAcentral lists this transfer RNA (73 nucleotides) under Minisyncoccota bacterium. RNAcentral describes it as "tRNA-Pro". It matches the Rfam family "tRNA". From Rfam's summary of the family: Transfer RNA (tRNA) molecules are approximately 80 nucleotides in length. Their secondary structure includes four short double-helical elements and three loops (D, anti-codon, and T loops). The record is from RNAcentral. Lineage: Bacteria; Bacillati; Minisyncoccota.
CGGAGUGUGGUGUAACGGCUAACAUUCUGGUUUUGGGUACCAGUGACUCAGGGUUCGAAUCCCUGCACUCCGA